UUCGCAAUGCCCGAAAGGGUGACGAAGCGACGCCGCGUGGGUGAGGAAGGCCUUCGGGUUGUAAAGCCCUGUCAGGAGUUAAGAAAUAUAAGUGUGUUAAUACCACAUUUAUUUGACGAAGGCUCCAAAGGAAGUCACGGCUAACUCUGUGCCAGCAGCCGCGGUAAUACAGAGGUGGCAAGCGUUGUUCGGAAUUAUUGGGCGUAAAGAGCACGUAGGUGGGUUUGUAAGUCAGAUGUGAAAGCCUCCUGUUCAACGGGAGAAUUGCAUCUGAAACUACAGAUCUUGAGUGUAGGAGGGGAGAAUGGAACUUCUGGUGGAGCGGUGAAAUGCGUAGAUAUCAGAAGGAACGCCGGCGGCGAAAGCGAUUCUCUAGUAUGUAACUGACACUGAGGUGCGAAAGCUAGGGGAGCAAACAGGAUUAGAUACCCUGGUAGUCCUAGCCGUAAACGAUGGGCACUAAGUAGAGGGGUUU
This 475-nucleotide ribosomal RNA is filed under the name uncultured Planctomycetales bacterium. RNAcentral describes it as "bacterial SSU rRNA". It matches the Rfam family "Bacterial small subunit ribosomal RNA", at positions 365 to 831 of the family's 1533-position model. The record is from RNAcentral. Lineage: Bacteria; Pseudomonadati; Planctomycetota; Planctomycetia; Planctomycetales.